RNAcentral lists this transfer RNA (72 nucleotides) under Chloroflexota bacterium. RNAcentral describes it as "Chloroflexi bacterium tRNA-Met". It matches the Rfam family "tRNA". From Rfam's summary of the family: Transfer RNA (tRNA) molecules are approximately 80 nucleotides in length. Lineage: Bacteria; Bacillati; Chloroflexota. The record is from RNAcentral.
GGCGAGGUAGCUCAGUGGUAGAGCAGGAGACUCAUAAGCUCUUGGUCGUGGGUUCAAUCCCCUCCCUCGCCA